UGGGGAAUAUUGCACAAUGGGCGCAAGCCUGAUGCAGCCAUGCCGCGUGUGUGAAGAAGGCCUUCGGGUUGUAAAGCACUUUCAGUCAGGAGGAAAGGUUAGGUGUUAAUAGCGCUUGGCUGUGACGUUACUGACAGAAGAAGCACCGGCUAACUCCGUGCCAGCAGCCGCGGUAAUACGGAGGGUGCGAGCGUUAAUCGGAAUUACUGGGCGUAAAGCGUACGCAGGCGGUUUGUUAAGCGAGAUGUGAAAGCCCCGGGCUCAACCUGGGAACUGCAUUUCGAACUGGCAAACUAGAGUGUGAUAGAGGGUGGUAGAAUUUCAGGUGUAGCGGUGAAAUGCGUAGAGAUCUGAAGGAAUACCGAUGGCGAAGGCAGCCACCUGGGUCAACACUGACGCUCAUGUACGAAAGUGUGGGGAGCAAACAGG
This 429-nucleotide ribosomal RNA is filed under the name uncultured bacterium. Its description in RNAcentral is "bacterial SSU rRNA". It matches the Rfam family "Bacterial small subunit ribosomal RNA", at positions 355 to 776 of the family's 1533-position model. The record is from RNAcentral.